UACGUAGGGGGCAAGCGUUGUCCGGAAUCAUUGGGCGUAAAGCGCGUGUAGGCGGCCCGAAAAGUCUGGUGUGAAAUCUUGAGGCUCAACCUCAAGCUGUCACUGGAUACUGUCGGGCUUGAGUCCGGAAGAGGAGUGUGGAAUUCCUGGUGUAGCGGUGGAAUGCGCAGAUAUCAGGAGGAACACCAAUGGCGAAGGCAGCACUCUGGUACGUGACUGACGCUGAGACGCGAAAGCGUGGGGAGCAAACAGG
RNAcentral lists this ribosomal RNA (253 nucleotides) under uncultured bacterium. RNAcentral describes it as "partial 16S ribosomal RNA". It matches the Rfam family "Bacterial small subunit ribosomal RNA", at positions 524 to 776 of the family's 1533-position model. The record is from RNAcentral.